CGGAGGGUGCAAGCGUUGUUCGGAAUUAUUGGGCGUAAAGGGCAGGUAGGUUGUCUUAUAAGUCUACUGUGAAAUCCCCGGGCUUAACCCGGGAAGUGCGGUAGAUACUGUGAGACUAGAGUGCUGGAGGGGUUCGUGGAAUUCCUGGUGUAGCGGUGAAAUGCGUAGAUAUCAGGAGGAACACCAGAGGCGAAGGCGGCGAACUGGACAGCAACUGACACUCAACUGCGAAAGCGUGGGGAGCAAACAGGAUUAGAUACCCUGGUAGUCCACGCUGUAAACGAUGAAUGCUAGACGUGGUAGGUCUUGACCCCUGCCGUGUCGAAGUUAACACGAUAAGCAUUCCGCCUGGGGAGUACGGUCGCAAGACCA
RNAcentral lists this ribosomal RNA (372 nucleotides) under uncultured organism. Its description in RNAcentral is "bacterial SSU rRNA". It matches the Rfam family "Bacterial small subunit ribosomal RNA", at positions 526 to 896 of the family's 1533-position model. The record is from RNAcentral.